CCAACUAAACUAAACAAUUCUAGGUUCAUAGAGGCGGCGCAUCCUUCGAUUGGAUCAAAUUAUUUGAAGUAUUUGAAGGUAGCUAUAGUGAACGACUGCAGUAGAUUUUUUUGAGUUGAAUUGAAGAGCAUUCACAUCAUCCUGCCAGCAACAAGUUCGAAUUUGGACUCUCAAAUUUCAGUCUGCUGGUAUCCUUCAUCUCCAUUUGAGUUUAAAAGAUAUCCAUUAUCUCUCUUCGGGUGCAUGCUCUCUCGACUGAAGGGUUGUGCAGCCAUUGUUGGUCUUUGUCUCAUCUUUCUCAGCUACCGCUAUCCUUCACACCUUACCAUUUAAGUCCAAAAGAUAUCCAAUCUCUCUUCGUGUGCACGCUCUCUCCACUGAAGGGUUGUGUAGCCAUUGCUGAUCUUUGUCUCAUCUUUCUCAGCUGCUAUUCUUCACACCUCUCUAUUUGAGACCGUUAGCUAUCCAAUCUCUUUUCGUGUGCAUCUCGAGUGAAGGUUUGUGCAGCCAUUAACGUUCUUUGUCUCCUCUAUCUGAGAUGGAUUUAUUCCUGGGUACAACCAAUGGAUAACUCAUGGAGAACUUCCUAGUCGCCUUUCAUCUAGGGGGUGAAAAUCAACAUAAUAGUUUGGGCGAUGAUGAUAUGCACGGUUUAGUUCAUGAUGCAUUUGGAGUUCCAAAUGAAGAUGGAUCUACAAAAGAAUAUACAGGAUCUCCGAUGGAUGCAUAAAUUGCUAAUGGGCAAGCAAAAGAAUUUUAUAAGUUGAUUGAUAGUUUGCAAGAACUGUUGUAUGAAGGAUGUUCUAAAUUCUCAAAACUAUCAUUCAUAAUCCGUUUGUUGCACUUAAAGUGUAUUGGGAGCUUGAAUAAUAAAGUAUUCGAUAUG
This is a non-coding RNA of Salvia hispanica, 886 nucleotides long. NCBI's taxonomy places the organism in Eukaryota, Viridiplantae, Streptophyta, Magnoliopsida, Lamiales, Lamiaceae. The record is from RefSeq and is a predicted model, not a curated record.